This 417-nucleotide ribosomal RNA is filed under the name uncultured bacterium. Its description in RNAcentral is "bacterial SSU rRNA". It matches the Rfam family "Bacterial small subunit ribosomal RNA", at positions 355 to 786 of the family's 1533-position model. The record is from RNAcentral.
UGGGGAAUAUUGGGCAAUGGGCGCAAGCCUGACCCAGCAAUGCCGCGUGAAGGAAGAAGGCCCUCGGGUUGUAAACUUCUUUUAUCAGGGACGAAGGAUGUGACGGUACCUGAUGAAUAAGCUCCGGCUAACUACGUGCCAGCAGCCGCGGUAAUACGUAGGGAGCAAGCGUUAUCCGGAUUUACUGGGUGUAAAGGGCGCGUAGGCGGGAUGGCAAGUCAGAUGUGAAAUCCAAGGGCUCAACCCUUGAACUGCAUUUGAAACUGUCGUUCUUGAGUACUGGAGAGGUUGACGGAAUUCCUAGUGUAGCGGUGAGAUGCGUAGAUAUUAGGAGGAACACCAGUGGCGAAGGCGGUCAACUGGACAGCAACUGACGCUGAGGCGCGAAAGCGUGGGGAGCAAACAGGAUUAGAUACC